RNAcentral lists this ribosomal RNA (379 nucleotides) under uncultured bacterium. Its description in RNAcentral is "bacterial SSU rRNA". It matches the Rfam family "Bacterial small subunit ribosomal RNA", at positions 30 to 410 of the family's 1533-position model. The record is from RNAcentral.
AUUGAACGCUGGCGGCAUGCCUUACACAUGCAAGUCGAACGGCAGCACGGGAGCAAUCCUGGUGGCGAGUGGCGAACGGGUGAGUAAUACAUCGGAACGUGCCCAAUCGUGGGGGAUAACUACGCGAAAGCGUAGCUAAUACCGCAUACGAUCUACGGAUGAAAGCAGGGGAUCGCAAGACCUUGCGCGAAUGGAGCGGCCGAUGGCAGAUUAGGAGUUGGUGAGGUAAAGGCUCACCAAGCCUUCGAUCUGUAGCUGGUCUGAGAGGACGACCAGCCACACUGGGACUGAGACACGGCCCAGACUCCUACGGGAGGCAGCAGUGGGGAAUUUUGGACAAUGGGCGCAAGCCUGAUCCAGCCAUGCCGCGUGCAGGAUG